Myotis brandtii (Brandt's bat) is the source of this 2279-nucleotide long non-coding RNA. RefSeq lists it as uncharacterized. Lineage: Eukaryota; Metazoa; Chordata; Mammalia; Chiroptera; Vespertilionidae. The transcript is spliced from 2 exons. The record is from RefSeq and is a predicted model, not a curated record.
AUGGGGUUCAAGCCCGCAACCCUGGCAUGUGGCCUGGUUCAUAGGUCAACACUCAACCACUGAGUGACACAGGCUGGCCUGUUUAAUUUUAACUGCACUGGGGAAAGAAAGGCAUUGCCUCAUUUGGAUGUGUCUGGAGUCUUGUAAGCUUGAUAUCCAGUUCUCCUACAAAUGGAUCUUGAGAGCUUUGUUUGGAGGCUCUAGCAGGCGAGCAAUUACUUGUAUACCCCUUGACAGAAAAACUGGUUAAACCCGGACAGCUUCGGGAGAGACACUUGGAGUGGUGAGGGAGGAAGGAGACACCCAUGCCUAGCUAGCCAGAUCAGCCGAAUCAACCCUACUGAUCAAUGGGGUGACAUGUCACAGCCUGGUCAUUUGUUUUCAAUCAUUAUGGAAGGGAAAAGUAACUCAGAAAGGCUAUAAUGAUAAUCAAGUGCUUUUACAUUAGUGAGAGUAGAGGUGAGUGGAAUUAAAUAUUUUAUUACACUUUAAUAACUAAAAGUGCAUGAUACCCACCCACAACCCAUAUGAAAACUCCAAAGUUAUCACUCCUGAGUUUGAGUGCCUUAUUAAGACAGUAUAAGUAAAAUAUAAAGAGUUUAUUAAAAUACAUACUUUUGUUAUAUGUGAAACUUAGAAAUAUUUUAAUAUACACUUUAAAUUUUACACAAUCUCAUCUUCCCAGUAAAAGUACAAAAGAGAACAGCAUGUUUAAGAAUCAGGCAUAACUUGGAGAUACUGUGGGUUUGGUUCCAGACCACCCACCACAAUACAAUAAAGUGAAUCAAACAAAUUUUUUUGGUUUCCUAGUGCAUAUAAAGGUUAUGCUUAUGCUACACAUAAUUGCAGUCUAUUCAGUAUGCAACACCAUUAUAUCUUUUAAAAAUACCUUAAUUUAAAAAUGCUAUAUUGCUAAAAAAUGUUAACCAUCUGAGUUUUCAGCAAGUUGUAAUUUUUUUGGUGCAGAUAAACUUGACACAGGGUUGCAACUAAACCUUCAGUCGCAAAAUAACCAAUGUUCUGCAAAAGUGCCAUAAAACGAGGUAUGCCUGUACUGACUAUAUUCAUGUGUACUAUAUGUUUUGUCCACUAAAAACUGGCAAGAGUCCCCCAUAUAUUACAUGGCCUUGAACAAAUUUUUUGUGGUUUUUCAUGUAAGCGGGGGUGGGGGGUCAUACCUACUUCACAAAUGUGAAAUUAAGUAUUUGACACAUUUCAGUGCUUAUUAAUAUUUACAUGUAUUUAAAGCUACAUGUUUUUGUGUCGUGACUAAUGCUUUAAUCAAAAUCUCAAAUGUUCUUUGCCCACACAGUAGUUAAUUGUGUGAGGUAUAUUAUGAUGCUGGUCAUAAACAGACCUAGCCAGCCAUCUUAGUGUUGGCUCUCUUUUAAGUAAAAUUCAAGAAAAUAAGAUUAAAUUGGUACUUAGGCAUUAGCAUAAGAGAAUGGCAAAAAAGUAUAUAAGUUUUUAAGACAAAUACAGUUAACAUGUUGACAUCUAAGUCUAAUGAGAACGGAAUACAUAACGUUUCAAAAUUUUUAUCCAAGAACUUAGUUGGCAACUGAACACUACACUAAAGUUAAAUAUAAUCCUAAAGUAACACAAACCACAAAAUAGAAAAUGUUGCUGUUUGUUCUCUAACAACACUUAAGAUUUCCAAAAGCAAUAGCUUUAUUAGAAGUAAAUGUUGAUAAACAAUUUUAAGGCUCUUAAAUCCAUCUAAAACAAUGUGUGGAUCUGGUUUAUUUGAUCAAAAACAUCUUUAAGCAGCCCCUUAUCAUUUUAGACUUUGCUGCUUGAUUUUAAAACCUCACCAUCUUUAUUUGCCCAUGCAAAAGAAUCAAGCCACAUCAAAAAUAAGUGCAUAGGUACUUACAGAUUUUACCAUCUUUUUUUCUAAAAGCUAUGUAUGAAGAACUGCAAAGUCAAUCACUACAGCCAUAUUAAUGCUAAAAGACAAUAUUGGUAAAACAAUGUUUAAAUGCCACAACAAUAUUAAGUCAACCUCUCAAAUCCAUUAAAAAGGAUAGUACUCAAAUCAACUAGAUUUUAUUCUAGUUUUCAGACCAAAAACCAGAGACACUGCUUCAUUUCUGAUACAUUUCUAUCCAACAGAAACAUGAUUUAAAAUAUUUCUACAUAUUUGUUGCAAUUCUAAUAAAGUUUAGUUUGCUAUUUUACUUAUCCAUGCAACCCAUAUUUCUCCAUUUAGCAAUGGUUGUUAGUCCCUGUUUAGAAAAAGCCUAUUUGAAUUUAGAUUUGCAUUUUCAACGAAAGAC